This 73-nucleotide transfer RNA is filed under the name Bos taurus (domestic cattle). It matches the Rfam family "tRNA". From Rfam's summary of the family: Transfer RNA (tRNA) molecules are approximately 80 nucleotides in length. Their secondary structure includes four short double-helical elements and three loops (D, anti-codon, and T loops). Lineage: Eukaryota; Metazoa; Chordata; Mammalia; Artiodactyla; Bovidae. The record is from Rfam by way of RNAcentral.
UCCUUGGUGAUCCAGUGGUUAAGAUUCCGUGCUUCCGUUGUGGGCGGCUCAGGUUCAAUCCCUGACUGGGGAA